AUCUGAACUUUUCAAAUACGAAAAUCAACGUAGUAGGGACAUUUUAAGGCCUUUCUUUAGUGUGAAUUCUCAUAUGCCUGUUGAGAUCAAUCUUACGAAUGAAACUCUUUCCACAUUGAUCACAUUUGUAAGACUUUUAUCCAGUGUGAAGUCUCAUGUGCCUGUUGAGGUCGGGUUUACGAAUGAAGUUCUUUCCACACUGAUCACAUCUGUAAGGUUUUUCUCCAGUGUGAAGUCUCAUGUGAUUAAUAAGGCAAGACUUGCGAGUGAAUUUUUUUUCACACUGAUCACAUCUGUAAGGUCUUUCUCCAGUGUGAAUUCUCAUGUGAUUAUUAAGCAUAUGUUUAUAUGUAAAGGUCUUUCCACACUGGGGGCACAUAAGAGCAUCCUUGGCUGUUGAUUUUUUUCUUUUUUUU
Misgurnus anguillicaudatus (oriental weatherfish) is the source of this 416-nucleotide non-coding RNA. Lineage: Eukaryota; Metazoa; Chordata; Actinopteri; Cypriniformes; Cobitidae. The record is from RefSeq and is a predicted model, not a curated record.